Gossypium hirsutum (cotton) is the source of this 121-nucleotide non-coding RNA. The record is from Rfam. NCBI's taxonomy places the organism in Eukaryota, Viridiplantae, Streptophyta, Magnoliopsida, Malvales, Malvaceae.
AAUAGGAGAAUGACAAAUUAGAUUUUUUCUCUUGAUUUUCAGCUUUUUCCUCCUCAAAAAAUUUAAAUCUAACUAAAAAUGCUAAAAAUUAGGAGGAAAAAUCUGAUUUCAUAAUUGUAUU